RNAcentral lists this ribosomal RNA (937 nucleotides) under uncultured Ascomycota. RNAcentral describes it as "eukaryotic LSU rRNA". It matches the Rfam family "Eukaryotic large subunit ribosomal RNA", at positions 1 to 953 of the family's 3401-position model. The record is from RNAcentral. Lineage: Eukaryota; Fungi; Ascomycota.
CUUUUGACCUCGGAUCAGGUAGGGAUACCCGCUGAACUUAAGCAUAUCAAUAAGCGGAGGAAAAGAAACCAACAGGGAUUGCCCUAGUAACGGCGAGUGAAGCGGCAACAGCUCAAAUUUGAAAUCUGGCUCUUUCAGAGUCCGAGUUGUAAUUUGCAGAGGGCGCUUUGGCGUUGGCAGCGGUCCAAGUUCUUUGGAACAGGACGUCACAGAGGGUGAGAAUCCCGUACGUGGUCGCUAGCCUUCGCCGUGUAAAGCCCCUUCGACGAGUCGAGUUGUUUGGGAAUGCAGCUCUAAAUGGGAGGUAAAUUUCUUCUAAAGCUAAAUGCUGGCCAGAGACCGAUAGCGCACAAGUAGAGUGAUCGAAAGAUGAAAAGCACUUUGGAAAGAGAGUCAAAUAGCACGUGAAAUUGUUGAAAGGGAAGCGCUUGCAGCCAGACUUGCCUGUAGUUGCUUAUCCGGACUUUUGUCCGGUGCACUCUUCUGCGGGCAGGCCAGCAUCAGUUUGGGCGGUUGGAUAAAGGUCUCUGUCAUGUACCUCUCUUCGGGGAGGCCUUAUAGGGGAGACGACAUGCAACCAGCCUGGACUGAGGUCCGCGCAUCUGCUAGGAUGCUGGCGUAAUGGCUGUAAGCGGCCCGUCUUGAAACACGGACCAAGGAGUCUAGCAUCUAUGCGAGUGUUUGGGUGUCAAGCCCAGACGCGUAAUGAAAGUGAACGGAGGUGGGAACCCUUUGGGUGCACCAUCGACCGAUCCCGAUGUCUUCGGAUGGAUUUGAGUAAGAGCAUGGCUGUUGGGACCCGAAAGAUGGUGAACUAUGCUUGAAUAGGGUGAAGCCAGAGGAAACUCUGGUGGAGGCUCGCAGCGGUUCUGACGUGCAAAUCGAUCGUCAAAUUUGGGCAUAGGGGCGAAAGACUAAUCGAACUAUCUAGUAGCUG